AUGGAACGAGUUGCCGGAAUGUAUUUUGAUGAACUUGUUGAUAGAAGAUUUAUCCAACCUGUGUCCAUCAACUUCAACAAUGAGGUGGUGUCCUGCACAGUUCAGGCCAUGGUUCAUGAUCUUAUUGCACACAAGUCUGCAGAAGAGAAUUUCGUUGUGGUAGUAGAUCACAAUCGAAAGAUUUUGGCACUUUCUCAUAAGGUCCGUCGACUAUCUCUCCAACUUGGUGAUGCAAAAUAUGCCAAGAUACCGGCAAACAUCAGAAAGUCACAAGUGCGUUCACUUGGAGUUUUUGGAUUAUCAGAGUGCAUGCCUUGCAUUGCAGAGUUCAAGCUUGUCCGGGUUCUGAACCUUACUUUCCGGCCAUUAUAA
This 372-nucleotide ribosomal RNA is filed under the name Triticum aestivum (bread wheat). RNAcentral's name for it is "partial small subunit ribosomal RNA". Lineage: Eukaryota; Viridiplantae; Streptophyta; Magnoliopsida; Poales; Poaceae. The record is from RNAcentral.